AACUAAUGAACUUGUAUAAAGUGUUUACUUUGAAAGUAAAAAAAAGAAUGAUUCUAUUAGUUU
RNAcentral lists this transfer RNA (63 nucleotides) under Histeroidea sp. 1 KM-2017. Its description in RNAcentral is "tRNA-Ser". The record is from RNAcentral. Lineage: Eukaryota; Metazoa; Arthropoda; Insecta; Coleoptera.